Molecule: long non-coding RNA, 341 nt
Organism: Mustela erminea (ermine)
Lineage: Eukaryota; Metazoa; Chordata; Mammalia; Carnivora; Mustelidae
Exons: 2
Source: RefSeq, a predicted model, not a curated record
ACCAGAGCCCUUUCUCCACCAUAUGAAAAUGAAACAAGACAACCAUCGGCAAGCCAGGAAGCGGGCCCCCAGUGGGAUGAGAACAGGCCAGUACCUUGACUUUGGACUUCCCAGCCUCCAGAACUGUUAGUAUGUGACCAAGGCCUUCUGAAGUCUGAUGAAGCCGUAUGACAAGCAGCUCACGCAUUCCAAAGACCUUGAACAUCUCAUGGAGAUGCCGCUUGAUGGAUAUAAAGCAGUAUUUUUGUCUCUCUGCAAUCCAGACUUCACUAGAAGCCUGAUUUUUAAUAUAGUCCUCUCUGGUUAUUUCAUUAUCAUCAUUACUAAAAUCAUAUGUCCUG